This 572-nucleotide long non-coding RNA is filed under the name Pan troglodytes (chimpanzee). RNAcentral describes it as "long non-coding RNA NONPTRT007081". Lineage: Eukaryota; Metazoa; Chordata; Mammalia; Primates; Hominidae. The record is from RNAcentral.
CAGCAGCUGGGACCAGCUCUCAUCCUCAACAGCCCCUCCCUCCACACACCCUGGUCUCUGAUUUUGUUCCUCUGAGAGAGACAGAGGAGACAGCAGGAUUACACACAUGGAAGUGGAGAAGGCAAUGUGGUGAUGGAGACAGAUUGGAGUGAUGUGGCCACAAGCCAAGGACUGCCAGCAGCCAGCACGAGCUGGAAGGGGUAAGGAAUGAAUUCCCCCUAGAGCUUCCAGAGGGAACACAGCCCUGACCCCUUGAUUCUGUUAUUGAUUGUACUCUAGAGGAAAAUUGGAAAGCACAGGAAAGUAGAAAAAAAAUCCACAUUACUAUAAACUUUUGUUUUAUUUCCAUCCAGUCAUUUGUUUUCCCCAUGCAUAAGGGUUUGGUUUUGUUUUUAUUUUUUUAAUUGUGGUAAAAUACACAUAACAAAAUUUAUCAAAGUGUACAGCUCAGCAAUAUUAUUAAAUACACUUAUAAUGUUGUGCAACUAGCACCACCAUCCAUUUCUAGAACUCUUCAUCUUGUCAAACGAAAUUCCAUACCCACAAACAAUAACUCUCAUGCCUUCCUCCCC